GAAAUGCGAUAAGUAAUGUGAAUUGCAGAAUUCAGUGAAUCAUCGAAUCUUUGAACGCACCUUGCGCUCCUUGGUAUUCCGAGGAGCAUGCCUGUUUGAGUGUCAUGGAAUUCUCAACUCUAUUUGCUUUUGUGAAUAGAGCUUGGAUUUGGAGGUUUAUUGCUGGUACUUGUGAUCGGCUCCUCUUGAAUGCAUUAGCUCGAACCUUUGCGGAUCAGCUAUCGGUGUGAUAAUUGUCUACGCCGUUGCAGUGAAGCAUAUCAAUGGGCUCGGCUUCCAAUCGUCCUUUACUGGACAAUGACUUUGACCAUUGACCUCAAAUCAGGUAGGAUUACCCGCUGAACUUAAGC
This 350-nucleotide unclassified non-coding RNA is filed under the name plant metagenome. Its description in RNAcentral is "partial contains 5.8S ribosomal RNA, internal transcribed spacer 2, and large subunit ribosomal RNA". The stretch from base 1 to 105 matches the Rfam family "5.8S ribosomal RNA", at positions 50 to 154 of the family's 154-position model. The record is from RNAcentral.